CGAAGGGGGCUAGCGUUGCUCGGAAUCACUGGGCGUAAAGGGCGCGUAGGCGGAUCUUUAAGUCGGGGGUGAAAGCCCAGGGCUCAACCCUGGAAUCGCCUUCGAUACUGGAGAUCUUGAGACCGGAAGAGGUAAGUGGAACUGCGAGUGUAGAGGUGAAAUUCGUAGAUAUUCGCAAGAACACCAGUGGCGAAGGCGGCUUACUGGUCCGGUUCUGACGCUGAGGCGCGAAAGCGUGGGGAGCAAACAGGAUUAGAUACCCUGGUAGUCCACGCCGUAAACGAUGGAUGCUAGCUGUUGGCCGGCUUGCCGGUCAGUAGCGCAGCUAACGCUUUAAGCAUCCCGCCUGGGGAGUACGGUCGCAAGAUUA
RNAcentral lists this ribosomal RNA (370 nucleotides) under uncultured organism. Its description in RNAcentral is "bacterial SSU rRNA". It matches the Rfam family "Bacterial small subunit ribosomal RNA", at positions 526 to 896 of the family's 1533-position model. The record is from RNAcentral.